CCUACGGGAGGCAGCAGUGGGGGAUAUUGCACAAUGGAGGCAACUCUGAUGCAGCAACGCCGCGUGAGGGAAGACGGUCUUCGGAUUGUAAAACUCUGUCUUUAGGGAAGAAAAUGACGGUACCCAAAGAGAAUCCACCGGCUAACUACGUUCCCGCAGCCGCGGUACUACGUAAGGAGCGAGCGUUGUCCGGAAUUACUUGGAGUAAAGGGAGCGUAGGCGGGCGGGAAAGUUAAAUGUUAAAUCUACAGUCUUAACUUGUAGCUGCGUUCAAAACUUCUUGUCUUGAGUGAAGGCGAGGCAGGCGGAAUUCCUAGUGUAGCGGUGAAAUGCGUAGAUAUUAGGAGGAACACCAGUGGCGAAGGCGGACUGCUGGGCUUUAACUGACGCUGAGGCUCGAAAGCGUGGGGAGCAAACAGGAUUAGAUACCCCGGUAGUC
This 439-nucleotide ribosomal RNA is filed under the name uncultured bacterium. RNAcentral's name for it is "partial 16S ribosomal RNA". It matches the Rfam family "Bacterial small subunit ribosomal RNA", at positions 338 to 795 of the family's 1533-position model. The record is from RNAcentral.